UUUGAUCCUGGCUCAGGACGAACGCUGGCGGCGUGCCUAAUACAUGCAAGUCGAGCGGACUUCUAAAUAGCUUGCUAUGAAGAAGUUAGCGGCGGACGGGUGAGUAACACGUGGGCAACCUGCCUUACAGACUGGGAUAACUCCGGGAAACCGGAGCUAAUACCGGAUGACCAAUGGAGUCGCAUGACUCUAUUGUAAAAGUUGGGAGCAAUCCUAACACUGUGAGAUGGGCCCGCGGCGCAUUAGCUAGUUGGUGGGGUAAUGGCCUACCAAGGCGACGAUGCGUAGCCGACCUGAGAGGGUGAUCGGCCACACUGGAACUGAGACACGGUCCAGACUCCUACGGGAGGCAGCAGUAGGGAAUCAUCCGCAAUGGGCGAAAGCCUGACGGUGCAACGCCGCGUGAACGAUGACGGUCUUCGGAUUGUAAAGUUCUGUUGUUAGGGAAGAACAAGUACCGUUCGAAUAGGGCGGUACCUUGACGGUACCUGACCAGAAAGCCCCGGCUAACUACGUGCCAGCAGCCGCGGUAAUACGUAGGGGGCAAGCGUUGUCCGGAAUUAUUGGGCGUAAAGCGCGCGCAGGCGGUCCUUUAAGUCUGAUGUGAAAGCCCACGGCUCAACCGUGGAGGGUCAUUGGAAACUGGGGGGACUUGAGUGUAGGAGAGGAAAGUGGAAUUCCACGUGUAGCGGUGAAAUGCGUAGAUAUGUGGAGGAACACCAGUGGCGAAGGCGACUUUCUGGGCCUACAACUGACGCUGAGGCGCGAAAGCGUGGGGAGCAAACAGGAUUAGAUACCCUGGUAGUCCACGCCGUAACGAUGAGUGCUAGGUGUUAGGGUUUCGAUACCCUUAGUGCCGCAGUUAACACAUUAGCCACCUCCGCCUGGGGGGAGUACG
RNAcentral lists this ribosomal RNA (898 nucleotides) under uncultured Bacillus sp. RNAcentral's name for it is "bacterial SSU rRNA". It matches the Rfam family "Bacterial small subunit ribosomal RNA", at positions 12 to 884 of the family's 1533-position model. The record is from RNAcentral. Lineage: Bacteria; Bacillati; Bacillota; Bacilli; Caryophanales; Bacillaceae.